Molecule: long non-coding RNA, 708 nt
Filed under: Marmota monax (woodchuck)
Lineage: Eukaryota; Metazoa; Chordata; Mammalia; Rodentia; Sciuridae
Source: RNAcentral
GAGAAAAAAUUGGAAUUCUAAGAGUUAGGCUUCAUGAAUUAAUAAUCAGAUAUUGUCUACAUGGUCUCUUGGCUUUCCAUCGGUGAGGCCUUUCUAUCUUGUUUUUUAAGGUCUGAUCAGUGGUCACCCUCUUACUGUUGGGCAAUGUAGACAAAUGGCCAAGAGUCUUGGCCUGAAAGAGUGGGAUUUUCCAAGGGUCAACUGGCACAAGUGGUCCAGUUCCUACCAGAGUAGAACACACCCUUGAGUGGAGACAGAUAAAGAGGUAUGUCCUUAACAGGAAAUUUAUUUCUUCCUGCCUUAAUUAAGUAAAUGCUGAACAAAUAUUUAGAGAAUAGUGAUUUGAAGGGGCACAAAUGUCUUGGUUUUCCUUUGCUUCAUCCAUUGUCACUUAAACUGUGAUUUCCACAAUGGAGUGAUAUUCUGGUUUGUGACUCAAUUCCUGUUGAUAGAACAAAUGAGCAUAGUGCUUACUCAGCACAAUUCCCGGCACAGAACACAGGAGGCUUAAGAAGCAACAAAAUCCCCUCUGGCAAGCCCCUCACAUCUCCAGGGAACACUUGUACAGUGUGUGAGUGUGUGAGAGAUGCUUUCCACUUUUAGAGUGAGCUGGCUCAUCAGCUCUGACUCCAGCCAGCAGAUGGCCCUUCAAGUCAGUAGGGCAAGGCUGCAGUAUGCGGGAUCGCAUGGCCUAUUGCUGUUUCCUUG